UUGAAUAUUCUUGAUGGGUUGUAGCUGGCUCUUCGGGGCAUGUGCACGCCUGUCUUGACUUUAUUCAUCCACCUGUGCACCUUUUGUAGUCUUGGGGGUUGAGAGCAGUCAAUAAUCGGAUGACCAUUUGGUCACUCCGGGUGUGAGGAAUGCUGAGUGCGAAAGCAUACAGCUCUUCUCAAAGUGACUUGUAAUCCUCUCCUUCAAGUACUAUGUAUUCAUAUACCCAUAGUAUGUUGUAGAAUGUGAUCAAUGGGCCUAAGUGCCUAUAACAAUCAUAUA
RNAcentral lists this unclassified non-coding RNA (282 nucleotides) under soil metagenome. RNAcentral describes it as "partial internal transcribed spacer 1". The record is from RNAcentral.